AUGUCCAGAGUGAAGAUGAAGCAGAGUACCACUGUGCACAGAGUGAUGCACUCCCUUUCACACAGUGAUAAAGAGCUGUACAAAAACCUCACUGGCACAGACAGCAGCAGCACAGAUUCCAGAGGUGACAUUACAGUAGAUCAGUCGCCCCCUGCCAUAUCAGUUCUGGCAGGUCAAACUGUCAUUAUAAAGUGUAAAGCCUCCCAAGUUAUUGGUAACGAUAUGGAGCUGUAUCAGCUUAAACCUGGAUAUGCACGUAAGAUGUUAAUAUAUGAUGGAAAUACACUUGUCACUGGAACCCCAAGUCGGUUCAGUGGUACCUGGAGUGGAGCUGACCACACGUUCACCAUCAGCAAUGUACAGAGUGAAGACGAAGCAGAAUACCACUGUGGGCAGAGUGAUGCAUUCCCUUUCACACAGUGA
Molecule: non-coding RNA, 423 nt
Organism: Polyodon spathula (Mississippi paddlefish)
Lineage: Eukaryota; Metazoa; Chordata; Actinopteri; Acipenseriformes; Polyodontidae
Source: the annotation of a RefSeq genome assembly